UAAGAUUACAGGCAUGAGCCACUAUGCCCAGCUGGCAUUUAUUUUCUUAAAGAAAAAAAAAAUCUAAAUACUUGGGGGAAAUGGGAGUUGAGCAAAAGACUGACACUAACAGCAGAAUGAAUCAUUUUUAUAUCUUCUUUACCUUCUUUACUGGGAAAGGUGGCUGGCUCAGCAGGGAAGGAGUGUAUGAGGAGACUGUGUAAAAUGUGUCUUGUCGCGUUGUUGGUAAGCCGCUAAGCAAAUGUCUUUAACAUUAAUUUGAAAUUAGGUCUUGACAAAAUCUUGAGAAAUUAAAACAGGAAAAUAGAUAUUUGUACUCUAGGAUGAUAAUUAAAAUUGUAAUAUGAAGAGUAAAUUGAGGGGUCAUAUUGAAAGGGAAUAAUAGUAGAAGACAAAAAGAAAACAAGGAACCAAACAAAACUUCAGCUCCUCUAAUGGCAUGCACAGAACAUAGAAGUUUCUGAUGAAGGAACUGGCAAAAAAGACAGAAAAGGAACUGCUGGGGUAAAAUGGCAACAUGCUGGGAGAACACAGGUUUGCAGCUCUUGUGGGAGAAAUACUUUCAAGAAGAAAGAAGUAGUUAAUAAUGCAAAAUACUCAGGUGAGCACCAGGGAAUAAAGGAUGGAGAAAUAUUUUGAAUUUUUCAGGACAAUAUUUAGUGUGAGUAAAUUUAGAAGGCACAAAAACUGAACAGCUGAAAUGAUCUGUGAGAAGAUAGAUAUUGUCAUGGACUGAAGACCAAGGUUACAUGGAAAGAGAAAUGGACUGGAUAAUAGUUGAAAAGAUUAGACAGCAAACAUGUUUUUCUUUUAAGAAAAGAUAAGAAGAUUGAUUGAGGUCAAAGUGCAAUGAGUCAAGGAUAGUGACAACUGGAAGAACAGGAAGCAGUUUGGCGGUGGCGGAUAGGUGAGGCACAAGGACGUCAGCACUGGAUUCAGACAAACCGGCGUGUAUUGCGCGUGUACUUUGGGUGGCCCUGUGCUGCGUCAGCUGGAAGGGAUCCAGAGAAAAAGACAGAGCCCUCUUUGAAGACAUCCAGAGAGAGAUCUAGGAUGUUGGGAAGGAACAAAGAAAUUCAGGCAUCUCUCCUGAGAAGAGAAAGGGAGUAGAAUGCUCCAUCAUGAUGCUAACCACAAGAAUUGACUUGACGGGACAGAAUCAAGGGGAAGAACGUCAGUGAAACUUCUGGUGACAAUCACCCACUUAGCUGGCGUCAAAACAGGCCCUAUUCCUCAGUACCCGGUAUCAAGAGAAGACAACUUUCAGAAGCCCAUUGCCUAGACUUGGAGGAGGCUCUUAAUAUGUUUUUUUUCCACAUUUCAUAAAUUCUUAGGAUUUUUUAAAUUUAAUAUCCUUUAUGAACUAAGGUCAACAAAACUUUAAUCAGUGAAUAUAUUUUUGGUUCUGAGAGUUAGAACACUCCUCCCUUUUAAAACAAAAAAGUUUUUAGAAUUUUGUUGUUAAAUAUAUCUGGACAUAUGAAGAAAACUGAAGUUAUCAGCCUUUUCAAUUGAAUCCUGACACUGAAAUUGUCUUUUGAAACUUACUUUUGUGUAACUAUCCUGGCUCACUGGCACUCUGCUCUGGAAUUAAAUUUCCCUAAUUUCUGUCAACUUUUUGAAUCUGCAACAGUGGGAGCAUAUGAUAUGCUGUAUGAGUAACUGCACAAGUUAUUGUUAGAAAAAUUCCUACUGAUAAGCCCUAUGAGUUUUAUCUGUAACUGUGCAAGUAACCUAAGUAUCUUGUGGAAUUAGAGGCAAUAGUCUGUUUUACAAAGAGUAGGAGAGAGAGAGAAAGAGGUAGAGACAAAGACCAAGACCAGGAGAGGAAGAAGGAGAGAGACAGAAAGGGAGGCAGAGGGAAGAAAGGAAAGAAGAAAGAAAGAAAACAUUAGCAUAAUUUUCCAAGAAUAGGCAUCUCAGUGUCUUGCCUAGAAAUCAAGGUCUUCCUCUGCUCAGAAGCACAGAAACUGUCCAGGAGGGGAAGCUCUAAGUAACGAUAACAAUAGAAACUGAUUGGCUUGACAAUGAGAUAAGACCAGGUAUGUUCCCGGUGACCCACAGUGAAGGAAAAUUCAGUUUUUGCACAGUUUCACUGUGUGGAGAGAAUAUAGCACCAUUACAAAACUUCUUUUAAAGAAAAGACACUUUGGGAAUUGGCCUCAUCUGUUUUUUUGUAGGCAGUUCAGAUAGGAAUAAAGGAAAGAAGAAAACAUCUCCUUCCUUAUUCCCCAUCUGUUUAUCUCACUAUUUCUCAUCCUCCUUACAGACACUCAGCUGGAGGUUCACAGAUCCAGUUUCUUGUAGAUUGCUCCUCAAUGUUGUGGGUAAUUUUAGGCAAAAUAUGCAAAUUUCUUGUUUGGCAUAAGGUUUUUCUUUCUCCUGCUAAAACAAAAAUGUUUCCGCUACAAACCAUUUAAAUACUUCGUAGGGAUUUUGUCAGGAUUAAUGAGGCAACAGACAGUCACAGGUGAUUAUACUUAUUUCAAGAAUGCAUUAUUUUAGUAUGUCUAUUUGGCAUUACAUUGAUUUUUUUUCAGGUCAUUAGCUUAUUAAUUUCUACUAGACAGCAGAGCUGCUGUGUCUUGUUAUUUUUGGAGUUAAAAUGGUGUAAUAUUCUCAGAGAGCUAGACAUCAACUUAGUGAACUGGAACUGGAGAAUAAUUUAUUCUUUGCUACCAUAGAUGUUAAUUAUUUACCACAAGACAGAGCUGGGCAAGAAGAAAUCUCAGAACUUUAGUUUGGAUACAGACUUUGCUUUUUAUGGUCUGUUUCAAUCCCUUUAUUUUACAGAUAAGUAGAUUAAAACAAUUAUGAUUAAGUAUCUUCUCUUAUGUCACACAGUUGUUAUUGAUUGGUUUAUACUUAGGAGCUAGAGCAAGUGUUCCCAGGGAGUACAUUUUGUACUGAAUAUAGCUGUCUUUGUGAAGAGAAAAAUAACAAGAUUUGUAGGUACUGAAAGUUACCCAGAAAUCUCACAUUAGUCUAGGAAGAGGUAUGUAUUAUGAUGCUCAGGGUUACUGUGGCUUGAUAUAAUUAAACAGAUGUAUAUUCGUCUCCUAGAGUCUUCAAAAUAAUGAUAGUGGUGACGAUGACGAUGAUGAUAGUUAGCAGUUUUUAAAGGCUUACUCUGCAACAGGAAUUAUACCUAGAGGUUUAUACACAUUAUCUCAUUUAUUUCCUAAAAUGAUGCCAUGAGGUUGGAUCUAUUAUUUCUUCCAGUCUACAGAAGAAGAACCUGAAGCUUAGAGAUAUUUGGUAAAUUGUUGCAACUUCACUCUGUAAGUAAAUGUCAGAUCUGACCAAUAUGAUGCCACCCUAUGCCUUGUCACAGUAUUAUUCUGCUAUACGUUUGAGAAUCUGCCAAAUUUUCUUAGGCUCAUUAUCCACUACCACCAUAUUCUGACUUGUGGUGGAAUUAAUAAUAUUUCUAGAAGAAAUAUUUGCAAUAUUUAAGCAAAUUUUAGAAUUUUUAUACUAGAAAUAAGAUCUUGGACAUAAUGUAACUGUAUGUCUAGGUGGUGCUAAGUAACGAGACUUUCUGCACUGAGUUUUAGAAUGAAGAAUGGGAAGGAAAGCUCUUCCUAAAUAAAGCAGGAAACAUGGAUACCAGCUUACCAUUUGUAACCAGAGGUGUUUCUUAAUCUUUUUCAGAUCAGUUGUACAAAAGUUAAGACAGCAAUAAUGGUUUUUAUAGAAUGUUCUCAUGACGGUUAAAUAUUAAGAUGUAUGUGAAGUACAUAGCCCAGUACUAGAAAGAUCUGGCGUCUCUUCUGAUUAUUUAUUGCCUGUGCUGUACCAGUUAAUGUUUGGAAUAUCAGUACUGUAUUCAACAGAUAUCUAUUUGAUAUCUAGUAUGUGAUUGGGCCAGUAAUAGGCCCUAAGGGGACAGUACUAUUUUUAUCUUCAUGGUGCUCACUUUCUAGUUGAAGGAGGUAGAAAAAAUAAUUAUUGCGGGUAGUGAUAAGUGAAACAAAAAUAAUAAGACAGGAUUGGGGUAGAGUGACAUGAAUUGGGGAGAAGGAAGGAUUCCAUGAGAUCAGUUGUGAAAGGAGGCUUCUAAGAAAGCAACACUGGAGUUGAGAAGGGAAUAAGAAAGAGCCAACUACCUGGAGAUUGGUAGAAGGAUGAAAAGACAUGCACAAGAUUUGAAGAAGAGUUUAUGAAGAUGAAGGCUUCCAAUGAACUGAGAUUUCUACAUCAUGGGGAGGGUAAUAAAAAUGCUCUUUAAAAUAUGUUAAACAAGGUAUCUGUAUCUAUGUCUGCAUGAAAGUAGAGAGGAGACAGAAUAGCUGAUGCAACAGAUGACAGUGAAUAAUCGAGUAUCUACAGCUUCUACAAUGAUCAUCAACCAGGUUCUUUCUGCCCAACUGCAGCAAGUCAAUCACUGAGAUAAUGGAUUUUGCAAAAGAGAAGACUAUUCAUGAGGCAGCCAGUGAGGAGGUGAAGAACAGGUCUCAACUCCACCUCCCAGAAGAUAAGGCUUAGGGAUAUUUAUAGGUUAUAGAAGUGGGGUCAGCUAAGAUGUGGGAAAAGGUGAUUGUCAGUGGGGGAAAAAUGAAGCAAUCAGUGAUCUAUGCAAACAUAGUUGGGAUAUGUGGCAUUUCAUAGGACACAUUUGCAGAAAAUGAUGGUAUUAUGAUCUGAGGGUGGAAUUUUUGGUCCUCUGAUGUCAAAAUGCUCUCCGGCAUUUACAGAGGCCCAGCUGAAGAGUCAACCAGUUUGAACUGGUCAGGAGCUGUCCCACAUUCCUGAAAAAUAACUGAAGUGACCAUUACCAUGGUGAUUUAUAAAUGUUCAAUUUAUUAUGCCGCUAAUGAAGGUUAAGUUUCAGCGUUCAGUGGUGCAGCCUUCAAUUACUGUGGCUUUCAGCUUCAUGAAAAAAAAAAAAAAAAAAGAAAAGAAAAAGAUAAAAA
RNAcentral lists this long non-coding RNA (4916 nucleotides) under Homo sapiens (human). RNAcentral describes it as "HSALNT0323708". The record is from RNAcentral. Lineage: Eukaryota; Metazoa; Chordata; Mammalia; Primates; Hominidae.